Molecule: long non-coding RNA, 1680 nt
Filed under: Fukomys damarensis (Damara mole-rat)
Lineage: Eukaryota; Metazoa; Chordata; Mammalia; Rodentia; Bathyergidae
Description: lncRNA (ENSFDAG00000025490.1)
Source: RNAcentral
CCCCCCCCCGCCCCCGCCCCGGGAGGGUAUGCGGGUGCCCUCGUCCAGGAGCGUCCUACCGGCUCCCCCGGCUUUGGGCCGAGAGCAACCUGAGCUCUCUGAACUAAAGCUCCCACAUGGGCUCUGUACAGCAAAUGGAUAUGACUAAGGUUAAAUCUCAGGACUCCUCAGUCUACCUCAAGCCAUUCCUGAUUUACCUGGGGACGGUGGCACACGAAUGCUGUCUGUUCACCCUGUCUCACUCUGGAGCCCUUCCUGCGCACACAGCUCAGAACUAAUAGGCACCGAAGGCACUAACUGCUGAAUGAGGCAUUGGUCCGACCCUGAGACAACAGGGCACAGCAAGGCCUUGAGCUCGGAAGAGACUGGAGCCACCUGAUUGUAAGAGUGUCUGGAUGAAAGAACCCAUUGCUAACGUUGAACACCCCUUCCUACGGACUGGAAUAGACAACUAGGCGAAUCUUAAAGGUGAACUCCCCAACAGCAGAGAACUGCUAAAUCUGGGUUGAAAAGAUGAACUAUCCUGUGGCCGUGAUUUGAACUGUGAGAGUGAAAUGUAACCACCCACAUGAAGCCAAGGCUGUGAAACCCUAUGAAAGGAGGAGUUGUGACCCAGUGCGUCGUCGAUCCAGGCACGGCUUAUGUGCGACUGACCCUUAUUGACGAGUAAAUUCGUUAUUUUACUUCCAUUCUGCUGUCUCUGUGCAUCACUCACUGAUUCCUUCCAUAACAUGUGUACAUGUGUGUGUCCAUGGCUCUGUAUGCACAGUACCUAUCUAUUUUAUUGAACUUAUUUGCUUUUCUUGUUUUCCCCCUUUUUCUGUUUCUGAUAGACUGAGUUUUAAUUUGAUAAUUUUAAAAGUAAUAUUCCUAAUGGUCAUAAUAAUACAUUUAAAACUCACAUGCACCCUUAUUUACCAGUACUAAUUUUCUAAAUGCACAAGGAUCUGUAUAUAAUUUCCCUAUAGCAUGACAGAUAUGUAAGCACAGUUCUUCCUUGGUUCCCUGUAAUUUUGAUACUAUUUUAAUUCUGGGUCGAUACAGAACUCAUUAAAAACAAAUUUAUCAAAGAUAUAUGUGAAAAAUUGUUAUGCAAUUACAAAUAAUUCAGAUACGAUUUCAAUAGAACGCAUAAUAGAAAAUAAAUAUUCCCAGCAAUAAUAUGUUCUUUCAAUAAUCCUCGGUAUUUUGAUAGUCCCUAUAUGACAAUUUUGCAUUAUUGAAUCAGGAUUGAAAUUAUUUUACCUGGUGGUAUUGGAGAAGGAAGAGUAAGUGAUGUUCUUGUUAUCCAGAUCUGUUUAAAUGUCACCACUGCAGACAUGCUUUUCCUGGUCAUCUGGCCAACUUUGUUACUUUAUGUCACAUUGCUGUAUUUUUGUGAUGUCCAUAGCAUUUAUCACUGGUUAAAUUUUUCACUUUUCUCAGUUUUUAUAACCUGUUAUGAGAACAAGGUUGAGGGCACAAUCCCUGCAUGAUCAGGAAGAACAGUAUAAUUUGGUCAUCAGCACAUGUUGAGGGAAAUAUGUAUAUGAAUUUGCUAACUUUCAAUAGAUGGGUGAAGAUGAAAUUACACUACUGGCUUGAAUAAAUAUUUUAUUAUUUUGUAACUAUUUUCAUGAUAACUAUUUCUAAUUUUUUUCUCUUUCUACUUUUGUUUCUUCUUCCAAAGACAAAUAAAGC